RNAcentral lists this ribosomal RNA (123 nucleotides) under Triticum aestivum (bread wheat). RNAcentral describes it as "partial small subunit ribosomal RNA". Lineage: Eukaryota; Viridiplantae; Streptophyta; Magnoliopsida; Poales; Poaceae. The record is from RNAcentral.
CUGCUCAAUGGAAUUCCUGGGAAACCUUUUAGACACAGGCGUGGGCUGCGGCAGGGCGACCCGUUGUCACCAAUGUUGUUCAUUCUGGCUCUUGACCCACUCCAAAAGCUCCUUUCCAAAGCC